AACGCAGCGAAGGGCGAUACGUAAUGUGAAUUGCAGAAUUCAGUGAAUCAUCGAAUCUUUGAACGCAUAUUGCGCUCUUUGGUAUUCCGAAGGGCAUGCUUGUUUGAGUAUCAGUAAACACCUCAACCUCCUCUUGUUUUUUCAAAAGGAGGGUGGACUUGAGCUAUCCCAACAACCUUCACCGGUAGGCGGGCGGCUUGAAAUGCAGGUGCAGCUGUCUUUUAUCUGAGCUAAAAGCAUAUCUAUUUAGUCACACAAACUUACUUGCAUCUGAAAUCAAGCAGGAUCACCCGCUGAACUUAA
RNAcentral lists this ribosomal RNA (303 nucleotides) under uncultured fungus. Its description in RNAcentral is "eukaryotic LSU rRNA". The stretch from base 1 to 113 matches the Rfam family "5.8S ribosomal RNA", at positions 42 to 154 of the family's 154-position model. The record is from RNAcentral. Lineage: Eukaryota; Fungi.